UACGGAAGGUCCAGGCGUUAUCCGGAUUUAUUGGGUUUAAAGGGAGCGUAGGCCGGAGAUUAAGUGUGUUGUGAAAUGUAGGUGCUCAACAUCUGCACUGCAGCGCAUACUGGUUUCCUUGAGUACACACAACGUUGGCGGAAUUCGUCGUGUAGCGGUGAAAUGCUUAGAUAUGACGAAGAACUCCGAUUGCGAAGGCAGCUGACGGGAGUGCAACUGACGCUGAAGCUCGAAAGUGCGGGUAU
This 245-nucleotide ribosomal RNA is filed under the name uncultured Prevotella sp. RNAcentral's name for it is "partial 16S ribosomal RNA". It matches the Rfam family "Bacterial small subunit ribosomal RNA", at positions 524 to 768 of the family's 1533-position model. Lineage: Bacteria; Pseudomonadati; Bacteroidota; Bacteroidia; Bacteroidales; Prevotellaceae. The record is from RNAcentral.